This 433-nucleotide ribosomal RNA is filed under the name uncultured bacterium. RNAcentral describes it as "partial 16S ribosomal RNA". It matches the Rfam family "Bacterial small subunit ribosomal RNA", at positions 29 to 507 of the family's 1533-position model. The record is from RNAcentral.
AACGAACGCUGGCGGCAGGCCUAACACAUGCAAGUCGAGCGAGGACUUCGGUCCUAGCGGCGGACGGGUGAGUAACGCGUGGGAACGUGCCCUUUGCUUCGGAAUAGCCCUGGGAAACUGGGAGUCAUACCGGAUGAGCCCUUUGGGGGAAAGAUUUAUCGGCGAAGGAUCGGCCCGCGUUGGAUUAGGUAGUUGGUGGGGUAAUGGCCUACCAAGCCGACGAUCCAUAGCUGGUUUGAGAGGAUGAUCAGCCACACUGGGACUGAGACACGGCCCAGACUCCGACGGGAGGCAGCAGUGGGGAAUCUUAGACAAUGGGGGAAACCCUGAUCUAGCCAUGCCGCGUGAGCGAUGAAGGCCGUAGGGUUGUAAAGCUCUUUCAGCUGGGAAGAUAAUGACGGUACCAGCAGAAGAAGCCCCGGCUAACUCCGUG